Molecule: ribosomal RNA, 375 nt
Filed under: uncultured bacterium
Lineage: Bacteria
Description: bacterial SSU rRNA
Rfam family: Bacterial small subunit ribosomal RNA
Source: RNAcentral
AUACGUAGGGUGCGAGCGUUAAUCGGAAUUACUGGGCGUAAAGCGUGCGCAGGCGGCUAUGCAAGACAGAUGUGAAAUCCCCGGGCUCAACCUGGGAACUGCAUUUGUGACUGCAUGGCUAGAGUGCGUCAGAGGGAGGUGGAAUUCCGCGUGUAGCAGUGAAAUGCGUAGAGAUGCGGAGGAACACCGAUGGCGAAGGCAGCCUCCUGGGAUGACACUGACGCUCAUGCACGAAAGCGUGGGGAGCAAACAGGAUUAGAUACCCUGGUAGUCCACGCCCUAAACGAUGUCAACUAGUUGUCGGGGAUUCAUUUCCUUGGUAACGCAGCUAACGCGUGAAGUUGACCGCCUGGGGAGUACGGCCGCAAGGUUAAA